UUAUGAGGACAUCACAUGCUCGGAUACAACCAUAUUAGCAUCUUUUGACUCUAAGGUGAAACAAUUCUUUAUCAUAAUUAUAUGUGAUACAUUUGAUGAAUUGAUGUACACCAUGAUGUGUAUUCGUUGUUAAUUUCAGAAAUAUAUACAUGGAUCAAAAAUAGUGUUAAACACACAUGGAAGGCAUGGAGGACUAAAGAAAUAGAUUGGAGGCCAAGUCCAAG
RNAcentral lists this long non-coding RNA (224 nucleotides) under Setaria viridis. RNAcentral describes it as "long non-coding RNA (SVIR_LNC000672)". The record is from RNAcentral. Lineage: Eukaryota; Viridiplantae; Streptophyta; Magnoliopsida; Poales; Poaceae.